Molecule: long non-coding RNA, 2477 nt
Organism: Rhincodon typus (whale shark)
Lineage: Eukaryota; Metazoa; Chordata; Chondrichthyes; Orectolobiformes; Rhincodontidae
Exons: 5
Source: RefSeq, a predicted model, not a curated record
CAGCUAGCAGUUAGCCUGCAUCUGUCAGCCUUUCACUAAGUAUAUGAGUGGAAUUUAUGUUUCAGCAUGACAAAAUUUCCUGUUUUUAAACUUUUUCCAAACUUCUCCCAUUGACAGGAGAAAAAUCAAACCAAAUCAGCAUCAGGAAAAGCCUACUUUAAUAACAGCCAUUUGAUUAAAUCUUGGCUGACGGUAGAUUGAGUAAUUAAGCAACAUCACAAGAGGCCAAAUUAACUGAUAUCAGUCUUGACGUUACAACUUCACAAGCUGCCAGUCUGAUAGAAGCCGGUGUCUACAAUCAGGGCUCUAAGUCAGCCAGAAAAGCGUUGACUUUGUCUGGAACAACUUUACCCAAGGGAUAGCUGUGUACAUCCUUGGAUAUGGGCGUGGGCAGAGCAAUCCACCACCAGUUAAAGAUGUAAUGGUUCAAGAAAUGCGAACGGGAAGAUCCUCACUGACGUUAGAUGAACAACACUGCUCCUGUGCAGUAACAACGUAAGCAGUGUUUGUCACCAACUGUCUGCUGUCAUCAAAACAAAGAGAUGUUGUGCCUUUCAUAGAGCUUCUUGAUUUCUUAAGUGGCUAUGGCAUACUCCUUACUCCGCAGCCACCAAACUAUUGCCUAAGGCUGCAACAAAAAGAAGGAAGUACGCUGAAGCAGCCCCCACCAUUGCUAAUUGGACCCAGAACUCAGACGCUGCUAAAGCCACUUCAUCGCCGCUGAUACUCCAGCCACUGCCAUAGCCAAGAGACUAUCCCAACUCUCGAGGACCAGGGCCCAUCUCAAUUCUGAGGACCGACAGACCAUCCAAAUUAACUCCUGAGGACCGAGGGAUCAUCCACUCCGCCGCUGUUGCAGACACCACCAAAGGAAAAGAACCAACCCUGAUCCAUCGUUGCUGGAGCCGUUGCUCAAGCCGUGACUGCCAUGGCCAGGAGGAAUGGACCGGAUCUGCCGCUCACCAGCUCCCCACAACCCCUCUCCUUUGUUAGUUCCUUACAGAGUGGAAUGGAAAAUUGACUGGCCCCUCUACAUUUUGUCAUGUGCAUCUAGUUAUACCAUUAAAAUACUGCAUCAGCAAAAUGCAAAGUAUGUAAUUUUGUUGAGUCGUGACAUAGUUCUACUGCAAAGCUGGAUUAAGUACAGUGCGUUACCAUGAUGCCUACAAAACAAACGAGUCAGAGAACACGGUACAACAGAAGACACUAGCAACGCUACCCUACAUCGAUAAUAUAUCAGAAACGACUACCAGACUCCUAAGACCGCAUGAGAUCAUGAUUGCACACAAACCUACAGCAGCACUGCGCCAAAUGUCAUCAAAGACUAAAGACCCCAUACUGACAGUAAACAAGACCAACGUAAUAUACAGAAUACCAUGGAGCGAGUUCAAUAAACAUUACAUUGGACAAACAAGGAGGAAACUGAUGACCAGGGUACACGAACACCAGCUGGCAGUAAAAAGACACAACCAAUAUUCACUUGUCUUGAUACACACAGACAACGAGGGCCAUCAGUUCAACUGGGACAAUGUGACCGUACUGGGAUAAGCGAACACCAGACAUACAAGAGAAUUUCUGGAAGUCUGGUUCUCAACACGGGACUCCAUUAACAAACACAUAGAAAUAGACCCCGUAUGCAGACCACUGCUAAAACAACAAAACCGGAAGUAACAAGACCAUCACACCAGAGGAUCAUAUAAAUCCGGAAGGAAGCAGAAUACCUACACUUUGAUUAGAGGUCGCACUGAUGAUGUUGCCUAGAAGGGUAACGAAACAUCUGCAUGUCACAGAACAACCGGCUCGAUUCUUUGCUGUGAUAUCUGACAUGGACAUUUCUGGAGCUGGAGUCCUUGUGAUGCCGCUUCAAAUAUGAAGACAACGCAGAAGGAGAGAGCAAUUACAACAUUUUCAGCACGCUCAGAAGAAACAGUAACCUCCAGUGGCUGCUGCCCAAGCAGAUCCAACAAUGAGGUGGAACAAAUGAUGAUACCCAAAUCUACUAGAGAAGGAACAAAACUUGAUGUACCCUUGGGUAAUAAGACAGGACAAGUGACAGAAGUGAUAGUAAGGGAACACUUUGGGUCUAGUCAUCAUAAUUCUAUGUGUUCUAAAAUGGUUAUGGAAAAGGAUGAGCCUUCCAUAAAAAUUAAUUUUUUAAUUGGAGGCAAAUUUUAAUGGCAUGCGACAGAACUUACAAAAGUGGAUUGGAGUAGACUGUUCGUAGGUAAAGUGACGUCUGAUAAGUGAGAGGCUUUCAAAAGUGUGAUAACGAGAGUUCAGUGUCACCGUGUUCCUGUUAGAGUGAAAAGGAAGGCCGGCAGAAUUAGAAAACAAUGGAUGAAUAAAAAAUAUUGAGGUUCUUGUCAAGAAUAAAAAAGAAUCAUAUAUUAGAUAUAGACAACUGGGUUCAAAUGAAUCUCAUGGACAGUAUAAAGCGUGUAAGAGCACUCUUAAGAGGGAGAUCAGGAAGGCAAAGA